CACGUAGUUAGCCGGGGCUUCUUCUGAAGGUACCGUCACCCUCUGGGCUAUUAACCCGAGUAGCUUCUUCCCUCCUGAAAGAGGUUUACAACCCGAAGGCCUUCUUCCCCCACGCGGCGUCGCUGCGUCACGGUUUCCCGCAUUAGCGCAAUAUUCCCCACUGCUGCCUCCCGUAGGAGUCUGGGCCGUGUCUCAGUCCCAGUGUGGCUGUUCGUCCUCUCAGACCAGCUACGGAUCGUCGCCUUGGUGAGCCGUUACCUCACCAACUAGCUAAUCCGCCGCGGACCCAUCCUCGGCCAGAGGCCGAAGCUACCUUUUCCCACCGCCCCUAGAGGCUGUGGGGCUAUCCGGCAUUAAUCCGAGUUUCCCCGGGCUAUUCCGGUGCCGAGGGCAGGUUAUCCACGUGUUACUCACCCGUUCGCCGCUCGUCCCCAGGACCGAAGUCCUGGUUCUCGCUCGACUUGCAUGUGUUAGGCGCGCCGCCAGCGUUCGUCCGUGAGCCAGGAUCAAACUCU
Molecule: ribosomal RNA, 515 nt
Filed under: uncultured bacterium
Lineage: Bacteria
Description: partial 16S ribosomal RNA
Source: RNAcentral